GGUGUAGGUGGCUUGGUAAGUCAGGUGUGAAAGCCCAGGGCUCAACCCUGGAAGUGCAUUUGAAACUACUGAGCUUGAGUGCUAGAGAGGUUAUUAGAAUACCUGGUGUAGUGGUGAAAUACGUAGAUAUCAGGUGGAACACCGGAGGCGAAGGCGGAUAACUGGCUAGACACUGACACUGAGACCCGAAAGUGCGGGGAUCAAACA
Molecule: ribosomal RNA, 207 nt
Filed under: uncultured bacterium
Lineage: Bacteria
Description: partial 16S ribosomal RNA
Rfam family: Bacterial small subunit ribosomal RNA
Source: RNAcentral